ACCGUGAGGGAAAGGCGAAAAGAACCCCGGCGAGGGGAGUGAAAAAGAACCUGAAACCGUGUACGUACAAGCAGUGGGAGCACGCUUAGGCGUGUGACUGCGUACCUUUUGUAUAAUGGGUCAGCGACUUAUAUUCUGUAGCAAGGUUAACCGAAUAGGGGAGCCGAAGGGAAACCGAGUCUUAACUGGGCGUUAAGUUGCAGGGUAUAGACCCGAAACCCGGUGAUCUAGCCAUGGGCAGGUUGAAGGUUGGGUAACACUAACUGGAGGACCGAACCGACUAAUGUUGAAAAAUUAGCGGAUGACUUGUGGCUGGGGGUGAAAGGCCAAUCAAACCGGGAGAUAGCUGGUUCUCCCCGAAAGCUAUUUAGGUAGCGCCUCGUGAAUUCAUCUCCGGGGGUAGAGCACUGUUUCGGCAAGGGGGUCAUCCCGACUUACCAACCCGAUGCAAACUGCGAAUACCGGAGAAUGUUAUCACGGGAGACACACGGCGGGUGCUAACGUCCGUCGUGAAGAGGGAAACAACCCAGACCGCCAGCUAAGGUCCCAAAGUCAUGGUUAAGUGGGAAACGAUGUGGGAAGGCCCAGACAGCCAGGAUGUUGGCUUAGAAGCAGCCAUCAUUUAAAGAAAGCGUAAUAGCUCACUGGUCGAGUCGGCCUGCGCGGAAGAUGUAACGGGGCUAAACCAUGCAC
RNAcentral lists this ribosomal RNA (693 nucleotides) under Escherichia coli. RNAcentral's name for it is "partial 23S ribosomal RNA". It matches the Rfam family "Bacterial large subunit ribosomal RNA", at positions 500 to 1194 of the family's 2925-position model. The record is from RNAcentral. Lineage: Bacteria; Pseudomonadati; Pseudomonadota; Gammaproteobacteria; Enterobacterales; Enterobacteriaceae.